GAGGGUAUAGCUCAGUGGUAAAGUACGUGCUUAACAUGCACAAGGUCCUAGGUUCAAGCCCCAGUACUGCCA
RNAcentral lists this transfer RNA (72 nucleotides) under Camelus bactrianus (Bactrian camel). It matches the Rfam family "tRNA". Rfam says of the family: Transfer RNA (tRNA) molecules are approximately 80 nucleotides in length. Their secondary structure includes four short double-helical elements and three loops (D, anti-codon, and T loops). Further hydrogen bonds mediate the characteristic L-shaped molecular structure. tRNAs have two regions of fundamental functional importance: the anti-codon, which is responsible for specific mRNA codon recognition, and the 3' end, to which the tRNAs corresponding amino acid is attached (by aminoacyl-tRNA synthetases). tRNAs cope with the degeneracy of the genetic code in two manners: having more than one tRNA (with a specific anti-codon) for a particular amino acid; and 'wobble' base-pairing, i.e. permitting non-standard base-pairing at the 3rd anti-codon position. RNAcentral also lists the same sequence under 2 other names. Lineage: Eukaryota; Metazoa; Chordata; Mammalia; Artiodactyla; Camelidae. The record is from Rfam by way of RNAcentral.